This 742-nucleotide ribosomal RNA is filed under the name uncultured bacterium. Its description in RNAcentral is "bacterial SSU rRNA". It matches the Rfam family "Bacterial small subunit ribosomal RNA", at positions 8 to 796 of the family's 1533-position model. The record is from RNAcentral.
AGAGUUUGAUCCUGGCUCAGAACGAACGCUGGCGGCAUGCCUAACACAUGCAAGUCGAACGAAGGCUUCGGCCUUAGUGGCGCACGGGUGAGUAACGCGUGGGAAUCUGCCUAUCAGUGGGGAAUAACGACGGGAAACUGUCGCUAAUACCGCAUACGCCCUUCGGGGGAAAGAUUUAUCGCUGAUAGAUGAGCCCGCGUACGAUUAGCUAGUUGGUGAGGUAAUGGCUCACCAAGGCUACGAUCGUUAGCUGGUCUGAGAGGAUGAUCAGCCACACUGGGACUGAGACACGGCCCAGACUCCUACGGGAGGCAGCAGUGGGGAAUAUUGGACAAUGGGCGAAAGCCUGAUCCAGCAAUGCCGCGUGAGUGAUGAAGGCCUUAGGGUUGUAAAGCUCUUUCGGGUGGGACGAUGAUGACGGUACCACCAGAAGAAGCCCCGGCUAACUUCGUGCCAGCAGCCGCGGUAAUACGAAGGGGGCUAGCGUUGUUCGGAAUUACUGGGCGUAAAGCGCACGCAGGCGGCUCGUUAAAUUAGAAGUGAAAGCCCCGGGCUUAACCUGGGAAUUGCUUUUAAGACUGGCGAGCUAGAAUCCAGAAGAGGGUAGUGGAAUUCCGAGUGUAGAGGUGAAAUUCGUAGAUAUUCGGAAGAACACCAGUGGCGAAGGCGACUACCUGGUCUGGCAUUGACGCUCAUGUGCGAAAGCGUGGGGAGCAAACAGGAUUAGAUACCCUAGUAGUCC